CCCCUCCCAGGAUCGCACCUGGAGAGUUUCUAGUAUUCUACGAGUGUCGGCUACAAGAGGGAGAGUCAAGCAGAGGCAUACUCAUUCCAUUCCUAGCUUGACCAGUGACUAGCUAGUGGAAGGCAAUCUGUGACAAGU
Molecule: non-coding RNA, 138 nt
Organism: Ornithorhynchus anatinus (platypus)
Lineage: Eukaryota; Metazoa; Chordata; Mammalia; Monotremata; Ornithorhynchidae
Source: Rfam